Molecule: small RNA, 29 nt
Filed under: Bombyx mori (domestic silkworm)
Lineage: Eukaryota; Metazoa; Arthropoda; Insecta; Lepidoptera; Bombycidae
Description: ovarian small RNA-36389
Source: RNAcentral
UUAAUCGUAUAGGAUAAAAAGAUGAGGUC